This 598-nucleotide ribosomal RNA is filed under the name uncultured bacterium. RNAcentral describes it as "bacterial SSU rRNA". The stretch from base 1 to 519 matches the Rfam family "Bacterial small subunit ribosomal RNA", at positions 338 to 873 of the family's 1533-position model. The record is from RNAcentral.
UCUACGGGAGGCAGCAGUGGGGAAUAUUGGGCAAUGGAGGAAACUCUGACCCAGCGACGCCGCGUGCGGGAUGAAGGCCUUCGGGUUGUAAACCGCUUUCAGCAGGGAAGAAGCGAAAGUGACGGUACCUGCAGAAGAAGCACCGGCUAACUAUGUGCCAGCAGCCGCGGUAAUACAUAGGGUGCAAGCGUUGUCCGGAAUUAUUGGGCGUAAAGAGCUCGUAGGUGGUUCGUCACGUCGGAUGUGAAAAUCUGGGGCUUAACCCCAGACCUGCAUUCGAUACGGGCGAGCUUGAGUAUGGUAGGGGAGUCUGGAAUUCCUGGUGUAGCGGUGGAAUGCGCAGAUAUCAGGAGGAACACCAAUGGCGAAGGCAGGACUCUGGGCCAUUACUGACACUGAGGAGCGAAAGCGUGGGGAGCGAACAGGAUUAGAUACCCUGGUAGUCCACGCCGUAAACGGUGGGCACUAGUUGUGGGGACCUUCCACGGUCUCUGCGACGCNGCUACGCAUAGUGCCGCCGCGGAGUACGAGCGCGAGAAGUAAACUACGAAGAAGUAGUUAGGNGUGNGACGNGCGACGGACGACGACGAGGGAGAGG